This 253-nucleotide ribosomal RNA is filed under the name uncultured bacterium. RNAcentral describes it as "partial 16S ribosomal RNA". It matches the Rfam family "Bacterial small subunit ribosomal RNA", at positions 524 to 776 of the family's 1533-position model. The record is from RNAcentral.
UACGUAGGGCGCAAGCGUUGUCCGGAUUCACUGGGUGUAAAGGGUGCGCAGGCGGAUCGGCAAGUCAGAGGUGAAAUCUUACAGCUUAACUGUGAAACUGCCUUUGAUACUGCUGAUCUUGAGUUCGGGAGAGGUUGAUGGAAUUCUAGGUGUAGCGGUGAAAUGCGUAGAUAUCUAGAAGAACACCAGUGGCGAAGGCGGUCAACUGGCCCGCAACUGACGCUCAUGCACGAAAGCGUGGGGAUCAAACAGG